UCGUACAAAAUGUGUAGAGGCAUGCCGGGGUUGUCGCCGACCGAAAUGUUGUGCACGCCACAGUGUGUCCUCUCACAUAACAAUCCAUCUCACCCUUUGUGCACCACCGCGUGGGCACCCUCUGGGAUCGCACCGACCUCAGAGGGGACUCGCGUUUUCACACAAAACCCCCCCUUUGAAAAAGUAUAGAAUGUACUCAUUUACGCAAUCAAUA
RNAcentral lists this unclassified non-coding RNA (214 nucleotides) under uncultured Lactarius. Its description in RNAcentral is "sequence contains ITS1". Lineage: Eukaryota; Fungi; Basidiomycota; Agaricomycetes; Russulales; Russulaceae. The record is from RNAcentral.